GACGAACUGUGCAAACGUUAUUCGGAAUCACUGGGCUUGAAGAGUGCGUAGGCGGUUUCGUAAGUAGGGUGUGAAAGCCCCCAGCUCAACUGGGGAACUGCGUCCUAAACUGCGAGGCUGGAGUGAGGUAGGGGUGUGUGGAACUUCCGGUGGAGCGGUGAAAUGUGUUGAUAUCGGAAGGAACGCCGGUGGCGAAAGCGACACACUGGGCCUUGUCUGACGCUGAGGAGCGAAAGCGUGGGGAGCGAACAGG
This 253-nucleotide ribosomal RNA is filed under the name uncultured bacterium. RNAcentral describes it as "partial 16S ribosomal RNA". It matches the Rfam family "Bacterial small subunit ribosomal RNA", at positions 524 to 776 of the family's 1533-position model. The record is from RNAcentral.